GAUGAACGCUGGCGGCGUGCUUAACACGUGCAAGUCGAGCGGAAAGGCCGAAGCUUGCUUCGGUACUCGAGUGGCGAACGGGUGAGUAACACGUGGGUGAUCUGCCCUGUACUUCGGGAUAAGCUUGGGAAACUGGGUCUAAUACCGGAUAUGACGAUCUCUUGGAUGGGGUUGUGGAAAGCUUUUGCGGUAUGGGAUGAGCUCGCGGCCUAUCAGCUUGUUGGUGGAGUAAUGGCCUACCAAGGCGUCGACGGGUAGCCGGCCUGAGAGGGUGUACGGCCACAUUGGGACUGAGAUACGGCCCAGACUCCUACGGGAGGCAGCAGUGGGGAAUAUUGCACAAUGGGCGCAAGCCUGAUGCAGCGACGCCGCGUGGGGGAUGACGGCCUUCGGGUUGUAAACUCCUUUCGCAAUCGACGAAGCCUUUUGGUGACGGUAGGUGGAGAAGAAGCACCGGCUAACUACGUG
RNAcentral lists this ribosomal RNA (468 nucleotides) under uncultured bacterium. RNAcentral describes it as "partial 16S ribosomal RNA". It matches the Rfam family "Bacterial small subunit ribosomal RNA", at positions 28 to 507 of the family's 1533-position model. The record is from RNAcentral.